Molecule: ribosomal RNA, 492 nt
Filed under: uncultured bacterium
Lineage: Bacteria
Description: partial 16S ribosomal RNA
Rfam family: Bacterial small subunit ribosomal RNA
Source: RNAcentral
AGUGAACGCUGGCGGUAGGCCUAACACAUGCAAGUCGAACGGCAGCACAGUAAGAGCUUGCUCUUACGGGUGGCGAGUGGCGGACGGGUGAGGCAUACAUCGGAAUCUACUUUUUCGUGGGGGAUAACGUAGGGAAACUUACGCUACUACCGCAUACGACCUACGGCUGAAAGCAGUGGAUCUUCGGACCUUGCGCGAUUGAAUGAGCCGAUGUCGGAUUAGCUAGUUGGCGGGGUAAAGGCCCACCAAGGCGACGAUCCGUAGCUGGUCUGAGAGGAUGAUCAGCCACACUGGAACUGAGACACGGUCCAGACUCCUACGGGAGGCAGCAGUGGGGAAUAUUGGACAAUGGGCGCAAGCCUGAUCCAGCCAUACCGCGUGGGUGAAGAAGGCCUUCGGGUUGUAAAGCCCUUUUGUUGGGAAAGAAAAGCAGCAGGUUAAUACCCCGCUGUUCUGACGGUACCCAAAGAAUAAGCACCGGCUAACUUCGUG